Molecule: ribosomal RNA, 425 nt
Filed under: uncultured bacterium
Lineage: Bacteria
Description: partial 16S ribosomal RNA
Rfam family: Bacterial small subunit ribosomal RNA
Source: RNAcentral
GUGGGGGAUAUUGCACAAUGGGGGAAACCCUGAUGCAGCGACGCCGCGUGGAGGAAGAAGGUCUUCGGAUUGUAAACUCCUGUUGUUGGGGAAGAUAAUGACGGUACCCAACAUGGAAGUGACGGCUAACUACGUGCCAGCAGCCGCGGUAAAAAGUAGGUCACAAGCGUUGUCCGGAAUUACUGGGUGUAAAGGGAGCGCAAGCGGGAAGACAAGUUGGAAGUGAAAUCUAUGGGCUCAACCCAUAAACUGCUUUCAAAACUGUUUUUCUUGAGUAGUGCAGAGGUAGGCGGAAUUCCCGGUGUAGCGGUGGAAUGCGUAGAUAUCGGGAGGAACACCAGUGGCGAAGGCGGCCUACUGGGCACCAACUGACGCUGAGGCUCGAAAGUGUGGGUAGCAAACAGGAUUAGAAACCCGGGUAGUCC